This 117-nucleotide ribosomal RNA is filed under the name Carlito syrichta (Philippine tarsier). Lineage: Eukaryota; Metazoa; Chordata; Mammalia; Primates; Tarsiidae. The record is from RNAcentral.
CUUACACUGGAUCUUGAGGAAAACACACCUGAUCUUUUCUGAUUUCAGAAGCUAAGCAGGUCAAACCUGAUUAGUACUUGGGUGGGAGACCACAUGGGAAUCCUGGGUGCUGUAGGC